Non-coding RNA from Chrysemys picta bellii (western painted turtle), 2116 nucleotides. The record is from RefSeq and is a predicted model, not a curated record. NCBI's taxonomy places the organism in Eukaryota, Metazoa, Chordata, Testudines, Emydidae.
GAUUCUACACAGAUUACGCCGGACUUACUACCACCCUUUGGCCUGAGGACUUUUUCAGAGAUGGUGCCUUCACUUACCUCUCACCAGGCCUUGGGGACUAUAAUCAUGCAUAUUGCCAGAGUUCUGACAGUCCCCAUGGCAAGACCCCUGUGCACCUCUGCUGGCACAAACUACAGAACUGAGUGCUGAAAUGAGGUAUGCUUGAUCUCAGAAGAUAGAUGUUUUCCACCUGCUCAGCUACACCAAACACAGUGAAUGCAGCUGGAGUGCUGGCAGAGAAAUGCAGAUUCAAAUCUUGAGUACAGCACAAAUAAUGACACCUUUAUGAAGUCUUUCAUGUCUGCUAAUGGCACCAACCGUACUGAACCAUUCCCAGUUAGCUGCAGGGCACAGAACUAAGGUUGCAUUGCAGGCGCAGUGUGCUACUUAACUUAUUUCCUGGUUUUCAGAGAAUUAAGUUUAAUCAAUCUCCAGGUUCUGGAAAUGCAUGGGCAACCUUAACUUAAAAACCUCAGUUUUUUAGACAAUUAGUCGAAAUUAAGUUGGCUACUUUGCACAUAUUUGUUCUUCAAACAGAAAUAUUAAAAUAUGAUUUAACAUCUCUGAAUUAUCUGUCUUCCAUACAUGAAUAGUCAGAAUUCAUGUUACGCUAACAAAACCUGCCAUCUUAAAUUAACUCUUUAAAAAAUGUAGGGAAGGAAACCCCUUCACCACCACACACUAGCCAAUACCAUUUCAGGCUUAGCUCCCUUCCUCUUCCUCCAUCACAUAGACAAUGUUAAUCUUUACAUAGCUGAACAUGCAAGUAUUAAAUACUCAUCUUGCAUUGUAGCAGCAUCUAGAUGCCUCAAUCAGAAUUGUGGCCUCACUGUGCUAGGUGAUGUAUGAACACAUUAUUAUGGUAAGGAUUCUCUUAGGCAGUGGUUCACAACUUUUUCCAGUAAGGAAGCCCAGGGUCAUUUCCCAACUACCUGGCAAGUGGAAUCCCCCUCUUGUUUCAAUACAAGAAGGGCACAGUGGUUGUGACCUGUGACACCUAUGUGUGAACCCUUCUGUAGCAUCGCAACACCCAGAUUGAGACUCCUUGGCCUAAAAAAAAAACUUUGCGGUGGGCUUGAAGGCUAAGUCAUGGUGUGGCUACUUGAAUGUGUGAUUAGUGGAGCGACAGCAUGCUUGCUACAAUCUGCAAAGCUAGAAGUAGCUGGCCUCUGGAGGAAUUCCUACUCCUACCUCCUAAUGUGGUAUUGGAAAGGGCCCGGCAGAUCUGGAGAUACUAUCUUAGUGAAGGAGGGGUGUAAGCUUUGCAAUGUUCUGACGUGGAUGUUCUUACAUGCUCUCCUCCCUGGCUGCUGUUCUUCUAUUACUCUCAAGGGAACGCGUACCCUGGGAAGGACACACCAUUUAAGAACAGAAUCAGUUGGGCUGGAGAUCUUAACAAGAAAGAUGCAUCUGUCAGCAUAGCAAAUGUGCAGUUCCGGGACAACGGCACUUACUUCUGCCAUGUCAAGAAACCAGCUGACAUACUUGUCAAGCCAGGAGAAAUCCGACUUAGAGUUGUGCAGAGAGAUGCUUGGUUCCAUGCUGUUUAAAUUUCAGAUGAUGGAAGUCACUCCUCUCCUAACAGGAACUAAACAUGCAGGGAUUUUGAAGGGGUCUAAUGAAGACCUGUGGAUUGUCUGUAUGUUAAGGCUAUUACCGGUCUGAGAGCACAGGACAGUAGAAAUCAUCAAACUGUUACAACUUCCUAAAUAGUUAUUACAAGAAACUGUGUCAAAAGUUUAACAGGUUUACAAAUCAUUUUCAUCCAAAAUGAAACACUCAUCAUUACAAACUGAGCUAAUCUCUGUUUAGAGAAACAUUAUGCAGUAAUAUAAUUAAAUCUCUCAAUUUAGCAGGGUGUUAUAUUAUAGGUGACACAAAGGGGUUUUAUGUAUCUCUCUGAGCUACUCUAAGGCUUCCAUGAACCCACUUCCCCCUUUCAGUUCAAACCACUUCCUAAUGUGGGCUUGUGACUUUUGACAUGUAAAAUUGAUGUGGGAUGCAACUAUUGAAUUGAUCCUGAUGAAAUCAUGGAGUGAAAUCCUUUAUUUCAUUAAAUAAAUUAAGGCUGGAAGAA